RNAcentral lists this ribosomal RNA (301 nucleotides) under uncultured bacterium. Its description in RNAcentral is "partial 16S ribosomal RNA". It matches the Rfam family "Bacterial small subunit ribosomal RNA", at positions 509 to 807 of the family's 1533-position model. The record is from RNAcentral.
CAGUCGCCGCGGUAAUACGAAGGGUGCAAGCGUUACUCGGAAUUACUGGGCGUAAAGCGUGCGUAGGUGGUGGGUUAAGUCUGCUGUGAAAGCCCUGGGCUCAACCUGGGAAUUGCAGUGGAUACUGGAUCACUAGAGUGUGGUAGAGGGAUGCGGAAUUUCUGGUGUAGCAGUGAAAUGCGUAGAGAUCAGAAGGAACAUCCGUGGCGAAGGCGGCAUCCUGGGCCAACACUGACACUGAGGCACGAAAGCGUGGGGAGCAAACAGGAUUAGAUACCCGGGUAGUCCCUGUCUCUUAUAC